RNAcentral lists this long non-coding RNA (556 nucleotides) under Amborella trichopoda. Its description in RNAcentral is "long non-coding RNA (ATRI_LNC000434)". Lineage: Eukaryota; Viridiplantae; Streptophyta; Magnoliopsida; Amborellales; Amborellaceae. The record is from RNAcentral.
UCGAUCAGUUAAACGUUGACUAGAAGCACACCUCACUUGGAAUGAUUUGUGCCAAGUGCUCAUAUUUCUUUCUUAUGUAUUUGCUUGCUUGCCAUUUUCCUUUCGCUUGCAUGCUUCUUUACACACCAUUGCACAUAAUGGAUCGGUGAAGCCCGAGAAACGAACAAAAGUUUUCAAAAACCCUCAAAAUCUGACAUUAACUGUCGUGAGGGGAACCCAGCAUUGAGAGCUGAGGCGGUUGGGAUUUGUGUAACUUUAACUAUAAGCACCCAUCUGUAAUCCUUAGCCUCAAAGCAACUCCACACAUAGUAGGACUUGGUUGAUUCAUUUAACAAGUGACCAGGACCUAUGUGAGGACCUACUCAACCUUGCUACAUUUCAAUAAUUAGGAACCCACUCUGACCGAGCAUACCCAUAGUUUAGGACAAAGUUUUCUAGUGCAUUGUUUGCUUAUCUCAGUUGUUUAAUAUUAGAUCCUAGUCUAGAUCCACUUUUGGUCUGAGCUAAAACGUUCUAGGUCCAAGUCCAGGCUUGUACCGAGUCUAGCCUAGGUCCG